CGUAGGGUGCGAGCGUUAAUCGGAAUUACGUGGGCGUAAAGCGUGCGCAGGUCGGUUUUGUAAGACAGGCGUGAAACUCCCCGGGCUCAACCGUGGGAACUGCGUUUGUGACUGCAAGGCUAGAGUAUGGCAGAGGGGGUGGAAUUCCACGUGUAGCAGUGAAAUGCGUAGAGAUGUGGAGGAACACCGAUGGCGAAGGCAGCCCCCUGGGCCAAUACUGACGCUCAUGCACGAAAGCGUGGGUAGCAAACAGGAUUAGAUACCCUGGUAGUCCACGCCCUAAACGAUGUCAACUAGGUGUUGGGUGGGUAAAACCAUUUAGUACCGGAGCUAACGCGUGAAGUUGACCGCCUGGGGAGUACGGCCGCAAGGUUA
This 375-nucleotide ribosomal RNA is filed under the name uncultured organism. RNAcentral's name for it is "bacterial SSU rRNA". It matches the Rfam family "Bacterial small subunit ribosomal RNA", at positions 526 to 896 of the family's 1533-position model. The record is from RNAcentral.